GUCCACGCCGUAACGAUGAGAACUAGGUGUUGCGGGUAUUGACCCCUGCAGUGCCACAGCUAACGCAUUAAGUUCUCCGCCUGGGAAGUACGGUCGCAAGACUAAACUCAAAGGAAUUGACGGGGCCCGCACAAGCGGUGGAGCAUGUGGUUUAAUUCGACGCAACGCGCAGAACCUUACCUGGGCUUGACAUCUGUGGAAUCUUCGUGAAAGCGAGGAGUGCCUUCGGGAGCCACAAGACAGGUGCUGCAUGGCUGUCGU
This 261-nucleotide ribosomal RNA is filed under the name uncultured bacterium. RNAcentral's name for it is "partial 16S ribosomal RNA". It matches the Rfam family "Bacterial small subunit ribosomal RNA", at positions 793 to 1055 of the family's 1533-position model. The record is from RNAcentral.